This 488-nucleotide ribosomal RNA is filed under the name uncultured bacterium. RNAcentral describes it as "bacterial SSU rRNA". It matches the Rfam family "Bacterial small subunit ribosomal RNA", at positions 1 to 518 of the family's 1533-position model. The record is from RNAcentral.
GAUCGAUGGCGUCAGGACGAACGCUGGCGGCGUGCUUAACACAUGCAAGUCGAGCGAUGAAGCUCUUCGGAAGUGGAUUAGCGGCGGACGGGUGAGUAACACGUGGGUAACCUGCCUCAUAGAGGGGAAUAGCCUUCCGAAAGGAAGAUUAAUACCGCAUAAGAUUGUAAUAUCGCAUGAUAUAGCAAUUAAAGGAGUAAUCCGCUAUGAGAUGGACCCGCGUCGCAUUAGCUAGUUGGUGAGGUAACGGCUCACCAAGGCGACGAUGCGUAGCCGACCUGAGAGGGUGAUCGGCCACAUUGGGACUGAGACACGGCCCAGGCUCCUACGGGAGGCAGCAGUGGGGAAUAUUGCACAAUGGGGGAAACCCUGAUGCAAGCAACGCCGCGUGAGUGAUGACGGUCUUCGGAUUGUAAAGCUCUGUCUUCAGGGACGAUAAUGACGGUACCUGAGGAGGAAGCCACGGCUAACUACGUGCCAGCCGCGGC